UUGAGAUUCUUUUGUGUUGAAGCUUCAUGAAUCAGCCUGUCUGCUACAGCCUGGGACAAGCACAUCCUCCAAACACAGUUUAUACAGAGUAUAAACCAAAGAAAACACAAGAGACAAGAAAGACACAGACUCAUGGGUACCUUAGAGGAUGCUUGGACUAAGAACUGAAAAUCCCAGGUACUCCUGCUGCUCUGAGCCAGUUGAACCUUUGAGCUGUCUUGGGGCAUGACUGUAACUUCCUUAUGAUCCAAACAUGAUUUUCCUAAUUGCCAACUCUGCCAUGUCACCCUGAGACCUGAAAACAUAUUUGCCACCUCUCUGCUAGUAAGAACUUCAGCAGUGAUAUGAGUUCCACUGCUCAGACCUUUCUUGGGAUCUGCUGACUUGAGGCCCAAGACAGAUCUGCUCGCUCUUCUGUGGCUGCUUUGGAUGUUGACACACCAACAGAUUGAGCCACAGGAGACCUAAGUAGUCCUCCUACAAUUUGGCACACUGUUUUCACUAUGGUGAGUACAAGGCUACUAUUUUCACAUGGCUGUUUUGUUACAUUUUAAACCAAAAACAUCUUUUUACGGGGAACAGGAAGAACGUACAACAGGUCUUCGGUUGCUGAAAAGUUUUACUAAAUUCAACAAGGUUCCACUAGCCUGCUCAAGCUGAGAAAUCAUCUCACAAGCCAAGGGAACCAUCACCAGGAAGCAAUACAUGAGACUGACCUUUUUUAGGUUCAAACUUCCAAACACUGUGUGUGCAAUCUUAGUGGAAGUGAGUCAUUCUUCCAACACUCACAGAGCUCCAACAUGCUCCAAGACACAUAAUGAACUUGUCCAGGCUCAGAACAUUUGACACUGAAUCUGUCACGGAUCAGAUUACUUCACUGUCCUACUUCUGAAAACAUGGGGACCUUAUCUUAGCAUUCUUAUGUGCCCGUCUUGAAGAAGAUAGCCAGGGCUGUCAGCGUGCAGAGGUGAUGGGUGAUGCUCUGCUAAGGGGAUAGCACUUCCUGAGAAAGAAUUCUUGGGAUCCAAAGAUGUAGACAACCUAGACACAUGUUGCUUGUAAUUGCCAGCAAAACCAGA
Long non-coding RNA from Pseudopodoces humilis (Tibetan ground-tit), 1079 nucleotides. RefSeq lists it as uncharacterized. NCBI's taxonomy places the organism in Eukaryota, Metazoa, Chordata, Aves, Passeriformes, Paridae. The record is from RefSeq and is a predicted model, not a curated record.